AAUAUUGGUCAAUGGACGCAAGUCUGAACCAGCCAUGGCGCGUGAAGGAUGAAGGUCCUCUGGAUUGUAAACUUCUUUUAUCUGGGACGAAAACGGGAUUUUUAUCUCAAUUGACGGUACCAGAGGAAUAAGCACCGGCUAACUCAGUGCCAGCAGCAGCGGUAAUACGGAGGGUGCAAGCGUUAUCCGGAUUCACUGGGUUUAAAGGGUGCGUAGGCGGAUUGGGAGGUCCGUGGUGAAAUCCCCGAGCUUAACUCGGGAACUGCCGUGGAUACUCUCAGUCUUGAAUAUCGUGAGGUAAGCGGAAUAUGUCAUGUCGCUGUGAAAUGCGUAGAGGUGACAUAGACCACCAGGUGCGAAGGCCGCUUACUACACG
RNAcentral lists this ribosomal RNA (376 nucleotides) under uncultured bacterium. RNAcentral's name for it is "bacterial SSU rRNA". It matches the Rfam family "Bacterial small subunit ribosomal RNA", at positions 360 to 735 of the family's 1533-position model. The record is from RNAcentral.